GACGAACGCUGGCGGCGUGCCUAAUACAUGCAAGUUGAGCGCUGAAGGUUGGUACUUGUACCAACUGGAUGAGCAGCGAACGGGUGAGUAACGCGUGGGGAAUCUGCCUUUGAGCGGGGGACAACAUUUGGAAACGAAUGCUAAUACCGCAUAAAAACUUUAAACACAAGUUUUAAGUUUGAAAGAUGCAAUUGCAUCACUCAAAGAUGAUCCCGCGUUGUAUUAGCUAGUUGGUGAGGUAAAGGCUCACCAAGGCGAUGAUACAUAGCCGACCUGAGAGGGUGAUCGGCCACAUUGGGACUGAGACACGGUCCAAACUCCUACGGGAGGCAGCAGUAGGGAAUCUUCGGCAAUAGACGAAAGUCUGACCGAGCAACGCCGCGUGAGUGAAGAAGGUUGUCGGAUCGUAAAACUCUGUUGGUAGAGAAGAACGUUGGUGAGAGUGGAAAGCUCAUCAAGUGACGGUAACUACCCAGAAAGGGACGGCUAACUACGUG
This 497-nucleotide ribosomal RNA is filed under the name uncultured bacterium. RNAcentral's name for it is "partial 16S ribosomal RNA". It matches the Rfam family "Bacterial small subunit ribosomal RNA", at positions 28 to 507 of the family's 1533-position model. The record is from RNAcentral.